CCGUUUCCGACCUGGGCCGGUUCACCCCUCCUUAGGCAACCUGGUGACCCCCCGCUCCCAGGAGGUCACCAUAUUGAUGCCGAACUUAGUGCGGACACCCGAUCGGCAUAGCGCACUACAGCCCAGAACUCCUGGACUCAAGCGAUCCUCCUGUAGAUCGGAAGAGCACAC
This is a long non-coding RNA of Mesocricetus auratus (golden hamster), 171 nucleotides long. RefSeq lists it as uncharacterized. The record is from RefSeq and is a predicted model, not a curated record. Lineage: Eukaryota; Metazoa; Chordata; Mammalia; Rodentia; Cricetidae. The transcript has 4 exons.